Molecule: long non-coding RNA, 2355 nt
Organism: Nelumbo nucifera (sacred lotus)
Lineage: Eukaryota; Viridiplantae; Streptophyta; Magnoliopsida; Proteales; Nelumbonaceae
Source: RefSeq, a predicted model, not a curated record
ACAGAAGAAAAUGUCCAAUUAGUGGAGUCCAUUUUUGGUCUAGUUGUGCUUUCUAGAGAGUGCAUUGUAGAACUAUACAAUCUUUAUCAGAUUCCUACUGAGUUUGAUUGUAUCUAGCCCGACCCUCAUGAAUACCCUUGGAGUCACGGCCGAGAUGUUGCUUGUGUUUUUAAGGAGGCGUUGAUCACCGGCCUCCGAUUUCCCCUACAUCCUUUUUGAUCCUUUGGUGUUGUCAUACUAUGGUGUUUCCUUAGGUGAUCUUUACCCCAACAUAGUUCGGACUCUAGUAGGGAUGAUCUUCUUAUGCCACCAUUGUGGCUUUCCUUUAGAUCUAGAUAUCUUCUCCAGCCCUAUGAAAAAAGUUCCCAAUGUUUCUUUAUGUUUCUAUCUCCCCUUCUAUGGUGGCUAUACGGUGUUAACUGAGUUUCCCUCCAAGGUUAAGGACUAGAAGAGUAGGUAGUUCUUCCUUUCUAAAAGUAGUGGUUGGAACAUGAGUACUAUUUGGUAGAGUGAGUGUCAGGGUUUUGGUGUAGAGUUGAAUGGAGAGCUGUGAGCUAYGGUUUAGGAUUUUGUCCCCCAAAAGGUUCUAGUAGAGACCCUUUUGGCCGAGCCCAUGCUUAUACAGGCCGACCUAAGUCGUGUAGAUAUGGCAAGGAUGGAGUCUAAUGAGGGGCAUUUUUGUCAACCCACUUGAUGGAGGACACGUGGACACUGUCAGCAACACAACGUCCAACUCAGCAAGACAGCUCUCCAGUUCAACACGUGGCAGUUUAUAAUAGGUGUGUGGCUGAGCUGAAGCGAUCUCGACCCACCGACAACAACAACUCGCCUGAAACCGUCCCGCGCGCCAUAUCUGGUUUAGUACCAUUACCGAAACUAUAGGGACUACUCGCCGAACUGCACGCCAUGAGACUUGUAGGCAAACUGUAACUGUUGUGCRAACUUAGCAACUAUAAAAGAACCUAGGGACACUCUAAAAGGUAUGCGCACAUAAGCUCUCACUCUCUCUCAAAUUCUCUAAAAGAACCACUCACUAACUUAAGCAUCGGAGUGUCACCCUGGGUAAAACUUACCCAAGCACUAUAACCUCUCUUCAUUUCAGCAACUCUCAGCUCGGUUUCAUAAAUUGGCACAAUAGCUCGGCUUACCACAGAUUGAACCCAGACCGAACCACCUCACCAAACACACGGGACUGAAUAGAUUCUAUGCUUUAUUUAUUGGUGGGCAUAUUUUGUGCUUCAUCGAGUCGAUGUUGGAGGCAUCUAAAAAGAAAGAUUCAAGGAAGAAGUGAAGGGCCGAGCGUCAUUCAUCAAUGGAGGGUACCUUGACUAGUGCCGAGGUGAGGUCACACUCGUUCACCCCCUCCUGUCUUCGAUCUCGAGGUAGGCAACGACCCAAUGAGUAUCGAUCGAUAUUCCAUGGGCCCUACAGUCUCUCAACCUUAGAUCAACUAGGAGGAAUGUGUUGCUGACCCUUAUACAUCGGACAUACCUCACUUCGUUCUGUGUGCCAACAUCUCUGUACUCGAUUGCAUAACCAAUGCCUACGUAGCUCUUCGGGUGGCAAGGGGCAUGUUGCUUCCUGAGGAUGUGCGGUAUUAUCGCAGCUUGAACCCAGUUGACACCAGGACUUGGUUGACUCUAUGCAUUGUCCAGGUAGGCGAACACCAUAGGGCAGGUCCUAUUGGAUCAGGUUGCUAUGAGCCARAAGGAGAGAAGCAAACUGUAGGCCAAUGUUGGCCUACCUCAGAUGCAUGGGAUCUACCUCAGUGCAGAGGAAGACUAUUAGUGAUUCAUUGAGCUGAGCAGGAAAAUGCAGCAUGAGCUGGCCGAGGCCCGAGAAACCAUUGCUGCCCAAGAGAGACAACUGGAAGAGAAGCGGACCAAGUAUGCUGAAGAUAUCCACCAGGCCGAGGAGGCAACUGUUGCUUGUUUCCAUAGCUCUCCUGAAUAUGAUAUGGAAAAGGUGGAGCUAUUAAUCCCUACAAUGCRAAAGGGGUUUAAACUCUGUCAUCAUUGCUUAAGGACACUGCAUUCCAAUUUUGAUUUUGGCAUUUUUUCUGUGAACUAUGUGCCGAAUGAGCUUGCUGUGUAGGUCGAUAGGGAGCCCUUGACUCCCGAGGAGGGUGAAGGAGUAGAUGGCGAAGAAGAGCCUACGAGCUUGUGAGCUAUAGGGCGGUUAUGAAGAUUACGUCAACUUGACUAGUUUCUGUUUCUUCUGGUGUUUCUGGGAGCCUGCGAGCUCUUGGAAGGUGAUCUCUUGGGCCUGUGUGUCCGAACAUCCAAACUUAUUGAUGCUAAGUUUUUUUUUCUUUACAUACAUGUAUCUCGAUCACUGGCCUUUUUGCUUAAUAAA